GACAGGCCCCGCGCGAUCCCCAAAGGCGGAGGGGCGGGGGCGGCAGCGGCUCCCCCCAGGGCGGCUCCGCAGCCAACCAGCGCCGAGAGCCUCGGAAAAACCAGUCCGGGCUGUCGCUCUCCAGCCGGGCUGCGAAUUGUCGUCAGCUCGGCGGAUUCUGCGCCUGGCGGAGCGCACCUGCCGCCGUGGGGCGUCCGGGAAGAUCCGGGCGGCCACUGGGGGACGCCGUCGCCCAGGGGGGAAGCCUCCCCAGGUCGCAGGGGAAAGCCCCGCGGCGCCAGAGCCCCCCUCUGCGCGCAGGGACCCCCGACUCAGGCAGGGUGGUCGUCAGGAGGAGAAUUCGCCCAAAGACCCGCGCAGGAUGCUUCGCUUUUUCGGGACGUUGACAGGAGCUUCCCUGACAUCGCGUCUCGGCCCACGCUGCUUCUCUUCCGAGCCUCUUUUGCGGGACUGGAACUCAGCACCUUUGCUCAUGUUCACUCCUCUAGAAAGCGGGGCCUUAAGUUCCGAGGGCGCGGGACCAGCUGGGAGAAGGGAAGACGGGCCCCCGGCGAAUGGGGCACUCGCAGAACUGAGUUCCCUGAGAAAGCCUGAACGGUUCCUGGAAGUGUGUCUGUCCGGCAAGAAGAACACCCAAGUGAGCAGCAGCCUUUCCCACGUGCUCGCUCCCAGCCCAGCCUCCCGAGCGCCGUCAGAACGCGGGACGGCGAGACCUCGCUGGUUCCCGGCUGGGGGGAGCUGUCUGGGGUGAAGCCCCGACCCGGGUCUUCCAAUUCUCCGGGGCCUCCGGGUGCCAAGCUGGAACUCAGACCCGCAACUUUGGAGAGUUCUCGCUGCACAGGAGGAGUUGUUUUCCCUGCGCAAAAUGCUGGACGGGAGAAAGAAACCAACCCCCUUUGUUGUGCGCGCCCGGAACCUGUGAUGCUUCCUCGGAUGAAAGAGGAGCAGUCUUCCUUGGAUGACUAACCUAGCAAGAACAACAGACCUGCCCUGGGCCAGCUUGGCAGAAAGAUCCCGUUCUCCUCCAGGAAAAUGAAUUUGACAGCUCACUUGGAAGAAGAUAUUGACUGGCCUCCGAGCUCGCCCAGUGGCAUUUCCGCCUGGAAUUCCUGGACAGAAAAUGGUGGAAUUCCUACCUGCCACCAGCAAAACUUGGGACUGGCAAUUGAGAUUUUCCGCAAAAGAGAAGGUGGGUGCAACUUGCAAAUCUCAGCCCGUUCCGCAUUUUAUUUCUGUGCUGCAAAUCCCUCUGGAUAGAAAAUUGUGCUCAGAGGACUUCCUUCCAUCAGGAAGCAGAACAUCUGCGGUCGCUAGAUUUUUUUUCCACUGGAAUAAUUGAAUUCUCCUCCUUCCUCCAUGGACUCUCAGUCUUCUUUCUUCUCUGCUGCAAGGAUUCUGCAUAUUUUUCCAUUAGGGAAUUCCUGGGGAUUUACCACGAAGAAUGAUUAAGGAUUGAUCAGUUGGGAAAGUGCAGAGGGUGGCAUAAAUUGGUCAGCUCCUGCGUGCCUUUAUCUCCAACGUGGGUGAAGUGUUUCCAAACACAGCCAUUGCUCUAAUUAAAUUAAUGAAGACAACUACAGAAGUCUGGAGAGAGAACACGGUACAUCGCUGGGAUAGUAUCGCUAGGACUGGGAUUAAGCCUGUUCAUAAUCCAGGUUGGCUUUGCGGGGUCCAAUUUGUGACAGACCGGAAUAAAAUUGCUCAUCCCAGUUUAAGAAGCCGUAAAAUUAUGCCCAGAUUCCAGCCUUUAUCUGUUUUUUCUCAGCAUCUUGAUCAUUAUUGUGCCUUAUUUUAUGAAGACGCUGCCCUUUUAAAGGAAUACUUUAAAAAAAUGCCCAAAGCACAGUCCCAUUAAAAAUAAUCUCAAAAAAUACAAGCGGGUUUAUUUCAUUUAUAAAGUGUGUUCACUUUAUAAAUUCAGACUUCAAGUGUGGAAAAUGUUUAGAUCUCAAGCCGAGCGAGAGAGACCUUAGCAGGGAGUGAACUGGGCCUAUUUUUCCAACAAGAGAGUUCCAAAAACAGGGGGGAAAAAAGCAGCGGUUUUUUAGUUUUUCAGUGGAAAAAUAAGCCGAUCCCCACCCCAAAGCUCACAAAAGCAACACACCCUGCCCUUUGUAAACAGGACAGAAUGCUUACAGGGGCCGUAUGGAUCCUAGCAGGGGGAAACUGAAAUAUCUUUUAAAAAUUCUGGCUGCAAUGCCCAUUUUUCAACCCAUGGAUGUUUCUGCUGAAAUGUCUUCCCGAUUUUAUUUUAAAUGUAGAUUUGGGGAACACAGUAGGGGGUCAGGGUGCCUUUUGAGGGGUCUCUCCACUUGGCUAAAAGAUGCAGCUUCUUCCUGCUUCUCAGAUGGAUUUUAAAAAAAAA
Crotalus tigris (Tiger rattlesnake) is the source of this 2365-nucleotide long non-coding RNA. RefSeq lists it as uncharacterized. Lineage: Eukaryota; Metazoa; Chordata; Lepidosauria; Squamata; Viperidae. The record is from RefSeq and is a predicted model, not a curated record. The transcript is spliced from 2 exons.